UCAAACUUGGUCAUUUAGAGGAAGUAAAAGUCGUAACAAGGUUUCCGUAGGUGAACCUGCGGAAGGAUCAUUAUCGGCUACAGGGAGCCCUUCCGGCUCCGGAGCGUACACCUCUGACCCGCGCGUUCCCUCCCUCCCUCCCAUCCUCCGGGACGGUGAUGGUGACGGGGACGCGUAGAAGUUACGGUUAACCGUGUUCACCUCUCGCCCCGUGUGAAACCUCAACCUCUUGCUUCGGCAGCACCGAGCGGGUGACCGCGAGGGUAAGGCUGCCGAAAGCCCAUAACCAAAACCUUACCGAUGAAAUGUCAUGCUGUCUGACCAAUCUUUUAUUUGAGAAAUCAAGUAAUAUCGUUAAAACUUUCAGCAACGGAUCUCUUGGUUCCCGCAUCGAUGAAGAACGCAGC
RNAcentral lists this unclassified non-coding RNA (407 nucleotides) under uncultured fungus. RNAcentral's name for it is "partial contains small subunit ribosomal RNA, internal transcribed spacer 1, and 5.8S ribosomal RNA". The stretch from base 1 to 73 matches the Rfam family "Eukaryotic small subunit ribosomal RNA", at positions 1759 to 1831 of the family's 1831-position model. Lineage: Eukaryota; Fungi. The record is from RNAcentral.